This 497-nucleotide ribosomal RNA is filed under the name uncultured bacterium. RNAcentral describes it as "partial 16S ribosomal RNA". It matches the Rfam family "Bacterial small subunit ribosomal RNA", at positions 28 to 507 of the family's 1533-position model. The record is from RNAcentral.
GAUGAACGCUGGCGGCGUGCCUAAUACAUGCAAGUCGAGCGAACAGACGAGGAGUUUGCUCCUCUGACGUUAGCGGCGGACGGGUGAGUGACACGUGGAUAACCUACCUAUAAGACUGGGAUAACUUCGGGAAACCGGAGCUAAUACCGGAUAAUAUAUUGAACCGCAUGGUUCAAUAGUGAAAGACGGUUUUGCUGUCACUUAUAGAUGGAUCCGCGCCGCAUUAGCUAGUUGGUAAGGUAACGGCUUACCAAGGCAACGAUGCGUAGCCGACCUGAGAGGGUGAUCGGCCACACUGGAACUGAGACACGGUCCAGACUCCUACGGGAGGCAGCAGUAGGGAAUCUUCCGCAAUGGGCGAAAGCCUGACGGAGCAACGCCGCGUGAGUGAUGAAGGUCUUCGGAUCGUAAAACUCUGUUAUUAGGGAAGAACAAAUGUGUAAGUAACUAUGCACGUCUUGACGGUACCUAAUCAGAAAGCCACGGCUAACUACGUG